GUUAAUGUAGCUUAAGAACCAAAGCAAGGCACUGAAAAUGCCUAGAUGGGUUUAUUAACUCCAUAAACA
This 69-nucleotide transfer RNA is filed under the name Hippotragus equinus (roan antelope). Its description in RNAcentral is "tRNA-Phe". It matches the Rfam family "tRNA". From Rfam's summary of the family: Transfer RNA (tRNA) molecules are approximately 80 nucleotides in length. Lineage: Eukaryota; Metazoa; Chordata; Mammalia; Artiodactyla; Bovidae. The record is from RNAcentral.